AUUGAACGCUGGCAGCAUGCUUUACACAUGCAAGUCGAACGGUAACAGGUUAAGCUGACGAGUGGCGAACGGGUGAGUAAUGCAUCGGAACGUGCCCGGUCGUGGGGGAUAACGCAGCGAAAGCUGCGCUAAUACCGCAUACGAUCUGAGGAUGAAAGCGGGGGACCGUAAGGCCUCGCGCGAUCGGAGCGGCCGAUGUCAGAUUAGGUAGUUGGCGGGGUAAAGGCUCACCAAGCCAACGAUCUGUAGCUGGUCUGAGAGGACGACCAGCCACACUGGGACUGAGACACGGCCCAGUCUCCUACGGGAGGCAGCAGUGGGGAAUUUUGGACAAUGGGCGAAAGCCUGAUCCAGCAAUGCCGCGUGCAGGAAGAAGGCCUUCGGGUUGUAAACUGCUUUUGUACGGAGCGAAAAGGUCUCCUCUAAUACAGGGGGCUCAUGACGGUACCGUAAGAAUAAGCACCGGCUAACUACGUGCCAGCAGCCGCAGUAA
Molecule: ribosomal RNA, 493 nt
Filed under: uncultured bacterium
Lineage: Bacteria
Description: partial 16S ribosomal RNA
Rfam family: Bacterial small subunit ribosomal RNA
Source: RNAcentral